Rhopilema esculentum is the source of this 10076-nucleotide non-coding RNA. NCBI's taxonomy places the organism in Eukaryota, Metazoa, Cnidaria, Scyphozoa, Rhizostomeae, Rhizostomatidae. The record is from RefSeq and is a predicted model, not a curated record.
UAUAUCUACUUUGCACUUUAUCUAUAUCUAAAAAAUUCUACGUCAUUAAAUUUUUCAACGGUCUGUUCCCAUACACUUUUGCCAACUAAAUUUUAAAUUUUUACGUAAAUUAUCAUGUUUGAUAGACGUUGAUUUUAGGCGAGUAAAUUAAAAAAGAUAAGCAACACAAAAACAUCAAAAUUAUUUGUUUGAAAAAUUUCAGUUAUUUUGCAUCUAAUGGAAGAUAUCUCACAAUAAUUGGAAAUGUCAAUAGACAUUCGCAUGGUGGAAGAUAACAUCUCUCCGUAGAUAGCCUAAUAUUACAGAUGGCUUACGCUUUUUGCCUAUGUAUAUUAAAAGUUAUUUUAUAUGAGUGUCAGUUAAACAAACUUUUAUUGGACACAAUGAUACCAUAGGGGAAGGGGCGUACUCGGGGUCACACUCCCCCUCCCCAAACUCUCGGCAUGAUCGAUUUUGUAUUUUGUCUAAAUUUGAUUAGAAAAUGUAGAAGGAGGGAUAAUUUUUUCAAAAGUAUUCUUCGUUAUGUAAUUCUAAGAUUUUGAAACUGCUCUUAGGUUAGCCUUUAGUUAGUCAUUAGUGUCCACAGAGAAAGUGCCAUAGGGUCAGCUGCCCCCCCCCCUUCUGAGGAAUUCAUUCUGAUUUUAUAAGAACCGUUUAAUUGAAGUUCAGGCUGGCUGUUUAACUUUUAGUAACACCAUUAAAACCAGUAAUGCUUUCAGGCUUAAUUGUUCGUUAUUUAAUCUUAAAUCCAUUUCUUAUUCUUAUUUGAAAUGAAAGACUGAUAUUGUAAAUUUAUUUUACAGGAAAUCACUUGAAAGUUUGUCGCUAUGGACCAGUGAAUGAAAAUCUAUGAAUGGUAUUAUCAGGGGUAUGAAAGUCAUCAUUUUACAAAUAUUCUGUUGAUAUUUUUCGAAUAUUUGGUUGACAUUUAUUCAUGGAAUAUAAAAAGGCAUAGUUUUAUGGUUGAUUUAUACUGAUUUACACCCUUUCGUAGAAGAGGUAUCAAAAUUGCUAGAGCAUGAAUAAGAUUAUAAUCUAUAAAAACAAGUUAAGCCAAAUUAAGAAUAAACAAUAUUGUCAAGCUUUUUUACGGAACAAGAUCAAAAUGAUGUAUUUGUUAUUAUAAUUGUUGCUUGCUGUUAUAAUGUGUUUUGUUUGAGGAAAACUAUUUUAAAACGAUUACCUUACAAAAUGGCUUUGAAAAAAAGCAAACAUUUAGUAAACUAAAGCUUUUCGUCUGACACUCUUCAGAGUUUAAAACGUAAGAACAUAGACCGAAAACCCUACGCUAGGAAAUAUAUAUACCCAGUUGUGGAUCGAAAUAGGCCAAUCAGAAACACGAGCCAGUCUGUUGAGGUUGACCAAUCAGUGCCGCUUGCCUAUUGAGAAUGUUACCAAUGGAGUCCUAAAAACGAACUCCUUUUGUCUUUACAGUAGCGGUUUUUUCGUGCCUAUGUAGAUAGAUUCCAAAAAUGCUAGGUGGAACGACGAUCGGGUUUUACCAAUAAUCCGAAACAUGUCGCCAUUAUAGAUUUUGCUCAAUCUUGGUUUUCCAAUAAAUGCUGCCCGAUGGCAGAAUCGCAGGUUUUAGUUAAAAGUCAUGUGCUCGUGUUACUGAUUGGCCUUUUUUCGAUCCACAACUGGGUAUAUAUAUUUCCUAGCGUAGAAUUUUCGGUCUAUGUUCUGACGUUUUAAACUCUGAAGAGUGUCAGACGAAAAGCUUUAGUUUACUAAAUGUUUGCUUUUUUCAGAGCCAUUUUCAAGUUUUGUACCACCAAAAUAUUGAUCACCUUACACUUUUACCAUCAAUCAAAUUUAUGAUACCGCAAAAUUUGAAGAUCACGCGUAAGAGAAAGAAACAUUUUGUAACCGAAUAACAAUUAAAAAGAAAGCAGAUCAAAAUGUUUUUUGAAAGAAGUAAGUAAGGUUCAAAGUAGGUUAUAAAAGUUCACAAGUGUCUUCAGAAAGUUAUAUGAAUGAUUAAAAUUUUGAAUUUUUCUUAUCAAAAUUGAUUUCUCUUUGUUAGAUUUGAUUAAACUAGCAAGGCUUCGAGAAAAUUCCUCAAAAAUGUAAUUGAUCACAAUAAGGAGUUGUUGAAGCAAUUAAGAUCUUCAAAUGUGGAAUGAGUGCUGUGACUUCUAAAUCAAGACAAUUACCGAGAGCCUAAGGUAUGUUGAAAUACUUUGCAUUUUCUUUUCUACAUUAAAUUUAUUUGUUUUUUUGAAUAGCAGUAUAUUGAGAAAAUACAAUAAUUUACAGUCUAUGGAAAGUUAUACACUUUUCAUCUUCCAACGAAUCCUUUCAAUUAGUUGCAAGCCAAAUAUUUUCUGCAAUUGACGAGUGACCUAUGAAGCAAAAUCAAGCAAUUCUGACACAAAUCUCAAUUCAUUAGGGACCAUUUUAACUUUGACUUGCUGAUAAAGAAUAAAUGAAAUAUAUAUUGCACUAUCGAAAGUUUUCAUUGCUGUUUAUAUGAAGAACACACAGAAAUUUAGGCGUGGUUUACUUUCUUUCUAUAAAGGUAGGAGAGAGUUCACUAGAUUUUAAGUACAUUAUUUUAUACAGUAGCUUAUUCCAGCUUUUUCAAUUGAUAUCUUCAAAGUAAGAUGUUGAUAAUUAGAUUUACUUUAAUAUUAUGAUUGAUUGGCCUUAUUCUGUACUACGCUUCUUCAAGUAAGAAGCAAGCGACUUUAUGUAAAAUAAUAAAUUCAAAAGCUUUAUAGAGGUCGAUUGGAAGUUAUAGUUUUAGUAGCUGUUGAUAUGUAAUAAAAUGAAGCCUUUCAAAUGUUAAGUAGUAUCAAAUGAACCAGGUUGAAGAGAUGUUUAGGGCUGAUAAUUCAAGUAUUUUGAAUACUUAUUAAAAUUACUGCUUGAAGCUAAAAUAUUUUCCACGGUAUGUUACAUAACGACCGAAUAAGCAUACAGGAAAUAUAUGUCAACAAUAGAAUACAGCAUUAGAAUACACAUUUGAAAUAUACCAUCCUUAUGAGUAAUUGUAAAUUUACAAAAAAUAGCUUAUUGUGAUACUUCAUUUUAUUGAAUUAUAAUUUGGUGGCUAUUCAGAUUUUCUAAACUUGAAAAUGUCUUACUAAUCCGUGAAAGGGAAAUAUCCUUGCCUUUUAUCUAAGUUGUUAGCCAAACUCUUUUCGUUAUAAUCGAAUUCUUAAUAGUGAAGUGUAUAUUUAGAUUUUUAACAGUAGAUAGCACGUCAUGAACUAAAACUGUCUCCUCUUAGAUCUGUCGAGCUUUUUUGCAUUUCGGCUAUUUUGUAUUCAACAGAAAACCUUUUGCUUAAUAGGUGCACAAUGCUUGUAAGAAUUUUAUAGUAAUUAUGCAACAGGAUAGAUUAAGUACCGUAUUCCCUCUAAAGAACGCCGUGGCGUUUAUUACAAACUCCAAAUUUUGGAUGCAGCGUUAAUCAGAGGGCGGCGUUUAUUACAAACUCCAAAUUUUGGAUGCGGCGUUCAUCAGAGGGCGGCGUUCAUCAGAGGGCGGGUUCAAUACAAAAUGAAAAGUUUUUCAAAUGAAAAAUGACAAGAAAAAUGCGAUGAACAAAGAUAAAAAGAAUAUCAAGUCAAGUAAAGUAAUGUCAUUAUCCCUGUCUCCGUCAGUGUCCUCGUCUCUAUGAGAUAAAAACUUUCAUGGCUUUCGAAUAGUAAGCGCAUAAACGAUUCCUUCCAUUUUGUUUGUUGUGUUCUAAUGAACGCCGCUUUUCAAGAUGCGGCGUUCAAUAUAGGACGGCGUUUAUCAGAGGGCGGCGUUUUUUCCAAAUGGUUGGCUGAAUGUGCGGCGUUCAAUAGAGGGCGGCGUUUAUCAGAAGGCGUUGUUCUUCUAAAUGAUUGGCUGAAGGUGCGGCGUUCAAUAGAGGGCGGCGUUCAAUAGAGGGCGGCGUUUAUCAGAAGGCGGCGUUCAUUAGAGAAAAUACGGUAUGCCCUUUUGAGGUUCAAAAGUAGGGUUGAAUAAUAUGAUAUAAUGCAUUGUGAUUCAAAUGGACAGUUUUGGUAAACACUUGCAUUUUUUAGCUCAUAGGAUCACUAGCAUUGUUUUGUAAGUGAUUUGCAUAAUGUUUUGCAUGGGGCUUUGGAGUUUGUUGAUAGUUUUGUAUGCUGUUGGUGUUCGUUAGAAAUAUUUUGGUGGUUGACCGAUGGUGAUGGUAUUGGCAGUGUUAUUUGAUACUUAGUGUUUGCCAUGGGUUUUGGUGGUGAGUGUUGGCGGUGGCGUUGGGUGUUGGCGGUGGGUAUUGUUGAUGGUCGCAAAACAACCUAGUGAUCCGAUGAGUUUAAAAGGUGUACAGCUGACUAUAUAAACAAAAUUCUUUCAGGAAGUUCGAACAGAAAGGUCCGGCUACUUUCCCAGUUUUUAAGCAAUGAAACACUUUUUACUGAUUUUUUCAGAAGUACUAAUGAAUGUUUUUGAUGUGAAUCAUGCGUUCAUUCCAUUUCAAUUUUUCACAAGAUGGAGUUUUUUAUCUAAAGAGGGUUCCUGGAAAGCUUAUAGAAUUUCUAGAGUGCUUGUUAUGAUUUUAAGAUUUUUUAUUCACAUUUAUUAAUCUUGAAAUUUAUAAAGGCACCAGAACUGUUUUUAUAAAUUGUAAGGAAAAUAAUACACGAAAUUUCAAGUUUUACACAUUUUUCUGUUAAUUUAUUUUGGAAGAAUCUAAACUAAUUAAUACUAGCAAAACGAUUGCCUUUAAAAGGAAUUGUGAUUGUGUCGUAAAACAUGAGUCAGUGCUAAAUUAAAAGUGAUAUCGAAUCAUCAAAAUUUUCUUGUAUUAGAUUUCUUGUAAUUUUCUUGUGAAAGCAUUGUAAUAUGAUUUGUACCUUUUAUUCAUUAUCUUAAUUAAAGAUUUGCUUUGAAGCUUGGAUAUGAGCAUGUUUUGACAUAUGAAAGACAGCCUGAUGAUGAACCCCAUAAAAAUUCAGUCUUUGUUCUGCCUUUUUUCCCCUUUACUAUUUCAAUUACUAGAGAUAAAUCUAGGUUGAUAAUGAGAUUGAACACUGAAAUCAAAUUUUUGUGACAAAUCAUCAUAAAAUUCAAUAGGAUACUGGAAAAACAACUGCAUAUUAAAGGUUUUGGCUGAUAAUAUUCAAGUUAGAUAUAUCAGAUUAUUUUCAAAUUUUAUUUUUUCCUUUUUCAGGUUUGGUAUCUAUAUUCCUAUAUUCUUUGGCGAAAGUUUCGUAGUUCAGCUGCUUUAUUAUCAAGCAUGUUGUCUUUCGACUUUGACGAAAAUAUUUGAAUUUUUAGUUUCUCGUUUACUAGUGUAAAGGAAGAAAUGAUUUGGGGAAUCAUGAAUUUGUCACAUGAUGAGUUACUCGAAAGAUAUACUCAUAACAAUCAUGAUCAGCAAUUAUUCUGAUAUGGUGAUUAAAACAAGUGUCUUUUUUAUUUUUAAAACAUACUGUACAGCAUUGGUUUUUAGCCAUGGAAGAAUCAAUUUGAAUCGGCAAGUAUUCCUAUAUCCCUGUUAGAGUUUGUUCGUGACCACUUUCCAUAGUACUUUUAGAUACUUUAGGCUUCAAAUCGUUGUGGAUAUUAUAUUUGUUUAGAUAUUUUAAAGUUUAACUGUGCGUAUAAUUCAAUCUCAGUGAAUUUAACUAUUUUGAAAUCCUUUUAUAGCGUCAUUUUAUAGGUUCAAAUAGCGUCAUUCGCCUUUUAUAGGUUCAAAUCGUUAAAGAUAGCAGGAUAUUUGAGCUUCCCAUCUACACCAUAGGUCUGUUCCAAAUCAUCACCUGCCAUCUUCAAUCCAUUAAAUUCGUCUAUCUUAGAUGCUUCGUAUAAGUAGGGUAUACUUUGGCAAUGAAAAUCUAUUAUUAAACACAUUCAGUACUCUAAUUACCUUUAAACAAAGCAAAUCUUCUCUAGAAUUAUACCCGCUGAAAACAGCUCGAUUAUAUUUUGAAAAAAACAAAUCGAGUAAAUGUAUUUCUAUAGAAUUUUUUAUCAGUUCUAGAAAGAAAGCAAAAGUGCUUCUUUUUUGCGACGAUGGGCAUAAAAAAUAUGUGAUAAAAUUUGUUCUUGCUAAUAUCUAAUAUCAAUGAUCAUUUAAACAUUGAUAAGCUAAUCACAAACUAAUUUUACAUUUUUAGACCACAUCAUGCAAAUUCAAAAAUGAACUAUCCAUGGAAGAAACUGAUUGGAAGGCUACCUGCGAAGUUUUCUUUCUAUAUUUCAAAGCCGUUUUGAUGAUAUAUAAUGAGCUGGUAUUUUUCUUCUUUUUUCAGGCAUUCAGCCAUUGCAAUACGAUGUGUCUCCUUUGCCACUUUUCGUUUUCGAUACUGUCAUAAUUCUGAGCAGUUAAUUUGUUUUUGUAACUUUAACUGUUUGUAGAUAAAGUAUCUUUCAGAAUGCACGCAUCUUCCGAAGAAAGAUACCAGAUGCAGCUGCAAGAUCUGUCAUUCUGGAAGCUUUGAUAUGUAUGUAAGUGUAACAAAAAAUGGGCUAUGCUCGAAACGCCGUUAUUCAUAAAAUAAAUUAUUUAUUCCUUGUACAAUUUACUUACAUUCAUAGUUAUUAUAUCAUUAUAUUGUACCGCACCAUAUCUAUUAUAUCUAUGUAAAUAUAACGAUGACCAAUGCCCACUGGCCUCCUCCACAGUGCUGGAUGCCGCCAGCAGAGCUUCUCGUGUUUUUUUUGGUAGAAAAGGUGAAGUAUCAAUUUUUUAAACACAUUUUGAUUAACUUUACCUUAACUAAAUCGCCAUAAAACUCUGUAUGAUACAUAACUAUACUUUAUUUUUUCUUCAAUGCCUGGCAUCUAUGUUUUUAUGAAUUUUAGAAGUCAUUUCGCUUGUCUGUGUUUAUGGUGGAUACUUAGUUUAAUGUUUUUUAACAAACGUUUAGCUCUUCAGAUACUUUCUUUUCAAAAUUUAUAGUAAAAAAUAAUUCAUCGAUAUGAUUAUAAUGUCGAAUUGUUGAGUCCUAAUGAAUAAAAAUUUCCUAAUAUUUCAACUUUUUGCAAGCCUCUGAUAAAGAGACAUUCGAGCAAAGGAUCUUUUAUUUGGCAAUAGAUUAAAAUGACUAUGAAAAUAAUAUUUUUUAUAGUUGAUACCUAUUGAAAUAUCAUUUUUUUUUAAAACACAGAACUACUGUCUAAAUGUUUAAUGCUAUAGGAAUUCUUCGUCAAAAGUUAGAAAGUAAAAUUUAAUUUGAUACCACUUAAAAAUAUACACUACUAUAUAUUUACUUUACAAACCAAUCCUCUUGGAGUUUGCAUGAUUUUUUACAAGCUGCCUUUUCUUUUUUUAUUUUAUUUGCUUUCAGAUGUGACCUAUAUCUUUGAGAAAGUUUCGAAAAAUUCCUCUUUCUUUAUUCAUUUUGUUUUGGAAAAUUGUUUUAAACAUGCAAUUUGUUUUCAGCUCACCGUUUGGCGGAAACUCUGGCUAGGAAACAAGGUUUGCUAGAGUUUAACGUUAGGGCUAAUAAAUAUUACAUUUUUGAUUAUUACAUUUGUCAUAUUUAAUUAUCAUUAUGUAAGAAAGUUUUUCAGGUAACAAUGGAAUAAUGCACUAGGAAGAAAGAAUUUCUUGACGAUAUUCUACAGUCAAAGGGAAGCUGUAGGCCAUACUCUCUUCUUAGUUCUGAUGGAGUUGAAUAGAAUGACUCGAAACGCAGAAAUUUUGGUUGAAUUUUUGGACAAAAAAGGUUAAAGUUCUGGGUGAAUGUUGAGUGAAGUUUUGAUAGUUCAAAAGGGGCUUUAUUUUCUGCUUCAGAUGUGUUUUUUCUUUUCUUUCUUUUUCUAUUGGAAGCUUUUUGUUUUCGAUAUUUUUUCUUUUUUCCCAAUAAAUUUAGCUUUUCAGUUUAUACCAAUCAGGAAAUUUUGAUUGUAGGUUGGCAGGCUUGCUUUUGGUGAGAAUAUUUUUCACGUUAAAUCCAGCAGAUAUUGCAUUAUUGUGCGAAUGUUACAUGCUCAGUCAAUAUAACAUUUAAAUUUUCAAAUAUUAUAGGAAUGUUUUUGUUUGAUAAAAACUUUUCUUGAAUAAUUUUUUUAUGAAAGGAUAUUUUCUCGUAGCUAAAAACUUCAUUGUGGCUAUGACUGUAAAAUAUGAUAAAGACGUCAAAAUAUGGCAUCAGAUCUACGGUGAGAAUUUUCCAGUUUCAAAUCAUUUUUUGUUAGAUUCUGAAACUAAAGAAAUUACAUAACAACUAUAUAUUCUUCAAUGUUUGCCUGGAAAGAGAAUCUUUACCUGGUGAAAUAGUUCACAAAUUGAAUAUGAGAUCAAGGCGAAAUGUCAGAGAGAUAAAAUUAAUGAAAUAAUAUUCGAUGAUAUCUAGCAUACAUUAAACGUGCAACAAAUUCAGCCAUUUUCAUUCAAGGCAACCCUUUAUCAUUAGGUCAGAAAUUUAUUUAAAUGCCUAUUUCAUUUAUCUAUGAACACUGGAGAACCUAAAAAUCAGGAAAAAUGUUUAUAUUCAGGUAGCUACGAGUUCAUGCAGAAAUUUGAUUCACAGAGUAUGAAGACCUUAGAAUUAUCUUUAAUCUGAACUUUCUAUUACGGGAUGAAUUCACGUUUUUGGGCUUUUUGGACCAAGCAUUCUUUUAAGUGAUUAGUGAUUUAAGUUUUAAUCUAGUCAUUUUUUACAAAAGAUCUGUAUUUCUAGCUUCAAUUUGAUCCAAAACAUACUAAUUCAUUUGAAGAAAAUUUUGGAACAUGCAAUUAAUUCAUUUGAUAUGCAAAAUAAAUACGAGCAGAAGAUAUCAAAAAACCAAAUUUCAACCGAUUCUUGGCCUUUGCUUUCACUGUUCAAUCGAUUUGGGUAUUGGAGCAGUGUCGUUCGCUGGUGAGUCGAAUGGGUUUGAAUAGUUUGGACAACGUUGGUUGAUGGGGUCGGUUGAUGGGUCAGUUGUUGAUGAGUCAGUUGUUGAUGGGGUAGGUCGAUGGGGUCGGUUGAUUGGAUUGGUUGGAUGUCUUGCUAGAUGUAUUUGUUUGGCAUUUGACUGUGAAAGCAUAGGUCAACUAAUUCUUAUAACACAAAUUUCACUUCUGACAUAAUAAAGACUUAAACGACACCUUUAGUAAAUUAAUUUACGCGAGUAAAUUCAUAUAUUUGAGCUUCAAGAUAAGCUAGCUGAGGAGUUGGCAAAAUUUCUAUUUGAAUAGAAAUUUGAUUUCUUUAACCAUUCAAGGAUAAAUAACUGUGAUUUCGAUAUUUCGAUAUUUUAUGCUAUUUCGAUAUAAAAUUGGUUGUUGAUACACUUAAAAAAUUUCUAAGAGAAUUAAUUUUUGAUGCACCACGCGGCCUACUUUGAAUAAUUGUGUUUUUAAAGCAAACUACUCUUGGGUAUGGAGCGCAAAAUACUUGAGCACACGUUGAAAGAUUUGCUAUUCCAUCGAAUGAAUAGGAAUAAACUUUUGAAGGAAGCAAAAUACUUUAAAAAAUAAAUUAGCUUUCACAUUUAUUUUAAGAUGAGAAGCACCCAUCUAACUGAAGAAACUGUAAAUGAGCAGAAAAGAUGAAAUAGAGCCUUAAACUUAGCAAGGGUAGAAGUUUGCUUGCAUGGAGACCAAGGGUCUCUUGAGCAUCAAAAUUCAAAGAAAUCCAUGCGCUCCUUGCCAUACCAGUUUUAGGGCAACAGUACGAUCACGACAAACUUGAUUUGCUUCAUCGCAAGAGCACUUCUGCAGUAAACAAGUCAACUUUGUUCCGAGCCAAAUAUUAUAAACCUUGUUGAGAAGUAAAAUGUUUGUGUCCUAUUGAAUUGCUAUCUGGUUGGACAAUUUACUUCGACAUUGCUGGCUUUUGCAUCCUUUUUCAGGUGAUCAGCAUAGGAAGUAGCAACCACGAGAAACGGGACCAAAGAAUCGAGGAUUUAUUAACAGUUCAUAGAGACUGAAUUUGAAAUGGUAGAAUACGUUAGUAAAUUACAGUUAUUAAAUUUCGGAAAAAAUUCUCGCAUUGUUGGAGAUUGAUGAACUAAUUACCCUUUCCAAAAAAUGGAGAAAUGUUCUCAAAAGUUGCUUGAUAUAAACAUCUGGAUAUUUUAAUGCUACGAUCACCAAUAAAGAAAUUUAAGUACGUGAUAUUAUGGAGCAAGCUACUUGUCGUAACGUAAGUCCAUGAUUUCUAAAAACAUUGAUG